GACGAACGCUGGCGGCGUGCCUAAUACAUGCAAGUUGAGCGAUGAAGAUUGGUGCUUGCCCCAAUUUGGAGAGCAGCGAACGGGUGAGUAACGCGUGGGGAAUCUGCCUUUGAGCGGGGGACAACAUUUGGAAACGAAUGCUAAUACCGCAUAACAACUUUAAACAUAAGGUUUAAGUUUGAAAGAUGCAAUUGCAUCACUCAAAGAUGAUCCCGCGUUGUAUUAGCUAGAUGGUGAGGUAAAGGCCCACCAAGGCGAUGAUACAUAGCCGACCUGGGAGGGUGGUCGGCCACAUUGGGACUGAGACACGGCCCAAACCCCUACGGGAGGCAGCAGUAGGGAAUCUUCGGCCAUGGACGAAAGUCUGACCGCGCCCCGCCGGGUGAGUGAAGAAGGUUUUCGGAUCGGAAAACUCUGUUGGUAGAGAAGAACGUUGGUGAGAGUGGAAAGCUCAUCAAGUGACGGUAACUACCCAGAAAGGGACGGCUAACUACGUG
RNAcentral lists this ribosomal RNA (497 nucleotides) under uncultured bacterium. RNAcentral's name for it is "partial 16S ribosomal RNA". It matches the Rfam family "Bacterial small subunit ribosomal RNA", at positions 28 to 507 of the family's 1533-position model. The record is from RNAcentral.